ACGGGAGGCAGCAGUGAGGAAUAUUGGUCAAUGGGCGGAAGCCUGAACCAGCCAAGUCGCGUGAAGGAUGAAGGUAUUAUGUAUUGUAAACUUCUUUAGCAGCAGAGUAAUAAGGAGGUCGAGACCUCCGAUGCAAGUAUGCUGAAAAUAAGGAUCGGCUAACUCCGUGCCAGCAGCCGCGGUAAUACGGAGGAUCCGAGCGUUAUCCGGAUUUAUUGGGUUUAAAGGGUGCGCAGGCGGCCUGUUAAGUCAGUGGUUAAAUCGUGAGGCUCAACCUCAUCACGCCAUUGAUACUGGUAGGCUUGAUUGCGGUUGAGGUUGGCGGAAUUCGUCGUGUAGCGGUGAAAUGCAUAGAUAUGACGAAGAACUCCGAUUGCGAAGGCAGCCUUCUGGGGUGUUACUGACGCUGAGGCUCGAAAGUGCGGGAAUCAAACAGGAUUAGAUACCCUGGUA
This 453-nucleotide ribosomal RNA is filed under the name uncultured Bacteroides sp. RNAcentral describes it as "partial 16S ribosomal RNA". It matches the Rfam family "Bacterial small subunit ribosomal RNA", at positions 341 to 792 of the family's 1533-position model. Lineage: Bacteria; Pseudomonadati; Bacteroidota; Bacteroidia; Bacteroidales; Bacteroidaceae. The record is from RNAcentral.